Molecule: ribosomal RNA, 468 nt
Filed under: uncultured bacterium
Lineage: Bacteria
Description: partial 16S ribosomal RNA
Rfam family: Bacterial small subunit ribosomal RNA (bases 52-468)
Source: RNAcentral
GGGGGGGGGGGGGGGCGGGCGGGGGGGGGGGGGGGCGGGCGGGGGGGGCCGGCUGGUGGGGGGUGCUCGAGGGGCGAACGGGUGGGUAACACGUGAGUAACCUGCCCUUGACUUUGGGAUAACUUCAGGAAACUGGGGCUAAUACCGGAUAGGCGCUCCUGCUGCAUGGUGGGGGUUGGAAAGUUUCGGCGGUUGGGGAUGGACUCGCGGCUUAUCAGCUUGUUGGUGGGGUAGUGGCUUACCAAGGCUUUGACGGGUAGCCGGCCUGAGAGGGUGACCGGCCACAUUGGGACUGAGAUACGGCCCAGACUCCUACGGGAGGCAGCAGUGGGGAAUAUUGCACAAUGGGCGGAAGCCUGAUGCAGCAACGCCGCGUGCGGGAUGACGGCCUUCGGGUUGUAAACCGCUUUCGCCUGUGACGAAGCGUGAGUGACGGUAAUGGGUAAAGAAGCACCGGCUAACUACGUG